GGAUGUGAGGGAGAUGUGGCUACAUCUGUCACCCCACUGAUUGCCAGGGUUGAUCACCUGCUUUGGCUAAGCUGCCUCCCUCAUCCUUCCACGUGUGCCCUUCUGGACUUUCCCUGAAUAGAGGACGACCAGUCUUCAGUCAAGGGUACAUGAGUAGAUACAUUCCCCUGCUAGAACCUCCAACAAACUCUCAAGGGAGCUGAAUUCUUAUGCCACAUGUCUACAAGAUAGUAUGCUCAUACACGGUAGGCAGGUGGGGCAGGGAGGGGCUUCUUUCGU
Molecule: small nuclear RNA, 279 nt
Filed under: Mus caroli (Ryukyu mouse)
Lineage: Eukaryota; Metazoa; Chordata; Mammalia; Rodentia; Muridae
Description: sRNA (MGP_CAROLIEiJ_G0008759.1)
Rfam family: 7SK RNA (bases 1-247)
About the family: 7SK was discovered as an abundant small nuclear RNA in the mid-70s but a possible function has only recently been suggested. Two independent studies have found that 7SK RNA binds the CDK9/cyclin T complex (known as elongation factor P-TEFb). P-TEFb activates transcription by phosphorylating the C-terminal domain of RNA polymerase II.
Source: RNAcentral